GUAGGUGGCAAGCGUUGUCCGGAAUUAUUGGGCGUAAAGCGCGCGCAGGCGGUUCUUUAAGUCUGAUGUGAAAGCCCACGGGCUCAACCGUGGAGGGUCAUUGGAAACUGGAGAACUUGAGUACAGAAGAGGAAAGCGGAAUUCCACGUGUAGCGGUGAAAUGCGUAGAGAUGUGGAGGAACACCAGUGGCGAAGGCGGCUUUCUGGUCUGUAACCGACGCUGAGGCGCGAAAGCGUGGGGAGCAAACAGGAUUAGAUACCCUGGUAGUCCAGGCCGUAAACGAUGAGUGCUAAGUGUUAGGGGGUUUCCGCCCCUUAGUGCUGCAGCUAACGCAUUAAGCACUCCGCCUGGGGAGUACGGCCGCAAAGGCUG
RNAcentral lists this ribosomal RNA (373 nucleotides) under uncultured organism. Its description in RNAcentral is "partial 16S ribosomal RNA". It matches the Rfam family "Bacterial small subunit ribosomal RNA", at positions 527 to 896 of the family's 1533-position model. The record is from RNAcentral.